This is an RNA transcript of Glycine soja, 2819 nucleotides long. It is a transcript of the gene named short-chain dehydrogenase/reductase family 42E member 1-like, with no coding region annotated. The record is from RefSeq and is a predicted model, not a curated record. NCBI's taxonomy places the organism in Eukaryota, Viridiplantae, Streptophyta, Magnoliopsida, Fabales, Fabaceae. The transcript has 10 exons.
CUAUGCCUGGUGCGACUUGCGAGAGGUGUACUGUAUAUUGAUAAAUGAGAUGGGAUGAAUCAGGGGAAUCUAGGCGAGUUAAUCAGAAUGCACUUGAGCGAGAACGAAGGGAUAGAGGGGAAGACCUUCGUGGUCACCGGUGGACUGGGAUUCGUAGGAUCUGGUCUCUGCUUGGAGCUCAUACGUAGAGGUGCCGUAGAGGUGCGAGCCUUUGACCUCCGCCUCUCUUCUCCUUGGUCGCGUCCUCUCAAGGACAAGGGAGUCCUCUGCAUCCAAGGGGAUGUUGCCCGCAAAGAAGACGUGGAAAGGGCCCUUCGCGGUGCCGACUGUGUAUUCCACCUUGCGGCCUUCGGAAUGUCAGGCAAAGAGAUGCUCCAAUUUGGUCGCGUCGAUGAAGUCAACAUUAAUGGUACUUGCCAUGUUAUCGACGCUUGCCUCUACCUCGGCAUCAAAAGGCUUGUCUACUGUAGCACAUGCAAUGUUGUCUUUGGCGGUCAACAGAUCAUCAAUGGGAAUGAGACAUUGCCCUAUUUCCCAAUUGAUCACCAUGUCGAUCCUUAUGGCCGCAGCAAAUCUAUUGCUGAACAGUUGGUUCUUAAGAACAAUGCCCGCACUCUCAAGAGCGAUUCCUCCGGGAAUCAUCGUCUUUACACUUGUGCUGUUCGUCCAGCUGCAAUCUAUGGACCGGGUGAAGACAGACACCUUCCAAGGAUCGUAACCAUGGCAAGGUUGGGUCUCCUUUUGUUCAGAAUUGGCGACCAAACUGUAAAAUCAGAUUGGAUUUUUGUGGAUAACCUUGUCCUUGCUCUUAUAUUGGCGAGUAUGGGACUUUUGGAUGACAAUCUUAGCAAGGGAAAACGCCCUGUAGCUGCUGGCCAGGCCUACUUUAUAUCUGAUGGCUCACCGGUCAAUUCUUUUGAAUUCCUGCAGCCUCUACUUAGGAGUUUGGGUUAUGAACUGCCAAAGACUUCCCUACCAGUCGAACGUGCUCUUGUUCUCGGGAGGAUUUGCUGGGCUGUUUAUACAAUCCUAUAUCCAUGGCUCAAUCGGUGGUGGCUUCCACAGCCAUUCAUCCUCCCCUCUGAAGUUCACAAGGUGGGAGUGACCCAUUAUUUCUCUUAUCUUAAAGCCAAAGAGGAGAUUGGCUAUGCUCCCAUGGUGACCUCUCGAGAGGGGAUGGCUUUGACCAUAUCUUACUGGCAAGAGAGGAAACGGACAACUCUGGAUGGACCGACAAUCUAUGCGUGGUUGUUUUGUGUCAUUGGAAUGAUCUCACUGUUUUGUGGUGCUUUCUUACCUGAUAUAGGGAUCAUGUCCCUUCUCAGAACUACAUGUCUAUUUGUCUUUCGGUCAAUGUGGGUUACAAGGCUGGUGUUUCUUCUGGCUACAGCUGCACAUAUUGCUGAGGCCAUUUAUGCUUGGUACCUGGCUAAAAGGGUGGAUCCUGCCAAUGCAAGAGGAUGGUUUUGGCAAACUUUUGCUCUUGGGUUCUUUUCGUUGCGUUUACUAUUGAAAAGAGCAAGGAAAUAGGUGAACCAUUUUGGUUCUUUUGUGAGAUUUAUCUUUAAUCUCCCUGCACCCACAGAUCAAAUUCCUGCAAAAAUGGUACUUACCACUCUUAAUUCUGCUGUACAUUGGGCAACUUCUUCACCAUGUGGUCCAGUGCAUAUUAACUGCCCUUUUAGAGAGCCUUUGGAAAGCAGUCCCUGCAGAUGGUUGUCAAGCUGUUUAUCUGGGUUAGACUUGUGGAUGGCUAAUGCUGAACCAUUUACCAAGUAUAUUCAUAUGCAAUUGUCUCAUACUUGUUUAAAUGCUCCUGGUGAAAUGACUGAAGUUUUAAAUCUGAUUCCAAGGGCCAAUAAUAGUCUUCUAUUAUUUGGUGCAAUCCAUACAGAGGAUGAGAUGUGGGCUGCUCUGCUUUUGGCUAAACACCUUCAGUGGCCUGUUGUAGCAGAUAUCUUGUCUGGGUUGCGGCUAAGAAAACUUUUAACUUCUUUUCCUGAUAUUGAAAGAAACUUUAUAUUUGUUGACAAUCUUGAUCAUGCUCUUCUCUCAGAUUCUGUCAAGGGCUGGUUAGAGGUUGAUGUGGUUAUUCAGAUAGGAAGCAGGAUAACUAGCAAACGGAUCUGCCAAAUUAUUGAGGAUUGUGCUCCUUUUUCAUAUAUUAUGGUUGACAAGCAUCCACAUCGUCAUGAUCCAACACAGAUUGUAACUCAUCGUAUACAAACUUCCAUUUUUGAAUUUGUGGGCUGUGUACUUAAAGCUGCAGUUCCGCAUACAAGGAGCUUGUGGAGCACUUCCCUACAAUUGUUGAGUAAAAUGGCGUCAUUGUGAGUGAUGAAGUAUGAAUCGAAAGCACAAGAGUAAAGAGAAUUCAAAAACAAAAGAUUUCAAGUACUUUAGAGGAAAAAUUGAUGCAAAAACUAGAAGAAAAAAUCUUGAAGAAAAGUUGAAAGAAUUGGACAGCUCGCUUAGUGCGUGCUGCAGGCUUAACGCGAAGAAAGCCCACAGUGAAGCCCAAAUGAGUGCUUAGCGCAAAAUGAGCGUGAAAAUUAAGGAGGAGGAAGCAGAAGAAAAAAUACACCGAGUAUCAGAGCUAUCCAAAGUCUGGGCCUAUCCCUUAGGGGAAACCCCUCUCUCUUCUAGUCAUUCUCCUUUUUCUUGUUAUUAGUCAUUCAACUAUUUCUUUCAUUAGCUCCUGAAGUGUAAAAUCUGUUAUGGCUAUAAAAGGCUAAACCCAUGUUGUUGAGAGCCUAGAGGUCAACUCUUGUAAUGUAAAUCUUUCCUAUUAUCUAUUUAAUGUAAUUUUGUUUCUAUUA